GAUGAACGCUAGCUACAGGCUUAACACAUGCAAGUCGAGGGGAAACGAUAUUGGAAGCUUGCUUCCGAUAGGCGUCGACCGGCGCACGGGUGAGUAACGCGUAUCCAACCUGCCCACCACUUGGGGAUAACCUUGCGAAAGUAAGACUAAUACCCAAUGAUAUCUCUAGAAGACAUCUGAAGGAGUUUAAAGAUUUAUCGGUGAUGGAUGGGGAUGCGUCUGAUUAGCUUGUUGGCGGGGUAGCGGCACACCAAGGCGACGAUCAGUAGGGGUUCUGAGAGGAAGGUCACCCACAUUGGAACUGAGACACGGUCCAAACGCCUAGGGGAGGCAGCAGUGAGGAAUAUUGGUCAAUGGGCGAGAGCCUGAACCAGCCAAGUAGCGUGCAGGAUGACGGCCCUAUGGGUUGUAAACUGCUUUUAUAAGGGAAUAAAGUGAGUCUCGUGAGACUUUUUGCAUGUACCUUAUGAAUAAGGACCGGCUAAUUCCGUGCCAGCCGCCGCCGUAA
Molecule: ribosomal RNA, 508 nt
Filed under: uncultured bacterium
Lineage: Bacteria
Description: partial 16S ribosomal RNA
Rfam family: Bacterial small subunit ribosomal RNA
Source: RNAcentral